ACGGCGCGACAGUAGAAGUGCCAGGAGGGUGGCAGGCAACAGGCAGGUGUGAGCAUGAAAGCGCAGAAAGAGGCGAUGGGGAGGCAGUGUACAGCAGAUGGGUGGAGGUGCCAGGAGGAUGGCGGGCAAUGGGCCAGUGAGAUCGCUAGGGGGUCUUUGGGUGAUGGGCAGGCGUGGGCGUACUAUUGACAUCAUGGAUGUGUCCUCACAACAAGGCUCCACCACGAGCAUGGCAAACUUUACAAAAUACUACACGAAUGCGAAACGCGACAAACUCUACAACGUCAUUAGCCUGGAGUUCACCAAGACUAAGUUGGAGCCUCAAGUGGAGUCACCCAGUCUGGUACGUCAUAUGGAUGGAGUGGACUUGGUGUGGCCGGAAACAUUGCGCGCUUUGCAGCAGGAGGCCACCAACCGACUGGUCGACAUGAAAUAUCCCAAAGUGCAAAAGUACUGCCUGAUGAGCGUCGGUGGCUGCUACACAGAUUUCCGUAUCGACUUUGGUGGCACAUCCGUCUGGUAUCACAUUCUCAAGGGUGGAAAGGUUUUCUGGCUGAUUCCUCCGACCCCAAUCAAUCUUCAGAUCUAUGAGCAGUGGGUGUUGUCGGGUAAACAGCAGGAUAUAUUCCUGGGUGACAUGGUCGAGAAGUGUGCCCGCGUCGAAUUGAAACCAGGCUUGACUUUUGUCAUUCCUACUGAAUCUGCGUGUGUCGCCCGCACCAAUACCUGACAACAUUGUGGAAAUAGUGGCAGUUGAAACAGAGAUUGUAUGCAAGUCCUCAGCUGCUACUGCAUCUCCAAGAAAGACAGAAGGUAUAUCAUCUCGGGACGACCACAUUUAAGUCUGAAUUUGAAGUGCGAAGAUGCUUCAGCAACCACAUCGUACUUUUCCAUUGCUUUCAUUGUGCUUCUACUGUGCAUGUGUGUAACUUGUGGGGUAUAUAAUUAUGUGAUGACAUUGUAUGCUGGCGACACGGUCAGUUUUUGUCCAUGCGUGUAACGUACACCUGCAUGUUAUGCAUUGAAAAGGAUCUGCCACUUGCGAUCCUGGGACAAGUAUCAGGUCAGCUUUGUCUUGUGUGGGCUGUACCAGAUUGCUGUUCACUUUUCCAUCUGUUGGAUAUGUGACUUUCUGCAAGUCUCUGGUGUAUGGUGGCCACUUCUUUGCUUGUCACUUUGUAUGAUAUUACAUUCUGUAUUCGCUGCUUCCAUGGCGUGGUCUGCAAACUGCAAUCCUUGGGCAAAUGUCAUGUUUGCUAUGUUGUGCUUUGGCCGUCAGCUUGUCUACACGUUGUAGUUGAAUUAUUUUGUUCCACAACUGACUUCCUUUUAAAAGUACGGUGGCCACUGCUUUGCAUGGCAUUUUA
This is an RNA transcript of Sycon ciliatum, 1367 nucleotides long. It is a transcript of the gene named lysine-specific demethylase 2A-like, with no coding region annotated. The transcript is spliced from 7 exons. NCBI's taxonomy places the organism in Eukaryota, Metazoa, Porifera, Calcarea, Leucosolenida, Sycettidae. The record is from RefSeq and is a predicted model, not a curated record.